GACGAACGCUGGCGGCGUGCCUAAUACAUGCAAGUCGAACGCGUCUACGUUAAUGAAAUCAAUGUGCUUGCACGGCGAUGGAUUUAACAUUAGACGAGUGGCGAACUGGUGAGUAACACGUGGGUAACCUGCCCUCAAGCAGGGGAUAACACUUGGAAACAGGUGCUAAUACCGUAUAACAACAAAAACCGCAUGGUUUUUGUUUGAAAGAUGGUUUCGGCUAUCACUUGAGGAUGGACCCGCGGCGUAUUAGCUAGUUGGUGAGGUAAUGGCUCACCAAGGCAAUGAUACGUAGCCGACCUGAGAGGGUAAUCGGCCACAUUGGGACUGAGACACGGCCCAAACUCCUACGGGAGGCAGCAGUAGGGAAUCUUCCACAAUGGACGAAAGUCUGAUGGAGCAACGCCGCGUGAGUGAAGAAGGGUUUCGGCUCGUAAAACUCUGUUGUUAAAGAAGAAAAGGUGUAAGAGUAAAUGUUUAAAAAGUGAAGGUAUGUAAAAAGAAAGAAAAGGAGAAAGAAGGGAAAGAAGAAGAAGGAAAAA
RNAcentral lists this ribosomal RNA (542 nucleotides) under uncultured bacterium. RNAcentral describes it as "bacterial SSU rRNA". It matches the Rfam family "Bacterial small subunit ribosomal RNA", at positions 28 to 525 of the family's 1533-position model. The record is from RNAcentral.